GCGCCAGCCUGGGCUCCCCGCCCGCUGGUGCUGCCCGGAGCGGGCGACGCGCCCUGGGCCAUUCGGGAUUUGGGGCGACGACCCAGACCUCCCCACACGCGUUCAGGCCCCUCCUCUCUCCUCCGUGUGGCCGCGAGCCCUGGGAGCGCCAGGCUAUCCUCACGCCCCCACAGGGGGAGCGAAGGCCCGAGCUCGGUGCUGGUUCAGUUCUUCACUGGUCCCUGCGUCUUAUUAAGCUCCUAUUGCAUGCAGCUUUGGGGGCACUGCAGGAGACUGAGGGAAGGAGGGAUCAGUUCCCCGCCCCUCCUGCCAGGUGGGGUCAGGGUUAGGUGGCAACGGCAGGGGCAGGGUGCUGCCCUAACCCUGACCCAAUUUGGGGUUCUGUCCUGAGCCAUGAGUACACAGCUGGCGCCUAACAGCGGCCAGGGUGUGGGUCAGGGAAGACACACUCUCCAGGCUCCCGGGCCUUCCGCCAACCCCACGGAGGGCCCGUAACCUCGACAGCAUGAAGCCAGGUUCCUUCAGGUGCAUCUGGUGACACUGAUGUUUAUUAAGCACCUACUGCAUACCAGUCUUGGGGGCUGAGGCUAAAACCUCACUGGGCAGGCUCUCCAAAGGCAUUGCUUGGAUGAGAGCAAAAGUCUGGGCUUGAAUCCUGGCUUUGCUUCUUGGCUGUGUGUGCUUGGGAGGCUCACUGCCCUCUCUGGGCCUUUGGGCUCCUGGGAGACUCCAGUGGAGGCUGGUGUGAGAAGCACCCAGAAGCCCCAGGAUGGGAUCAUUGACUUUCCAAGCCCAGGAUUGGAUGGCCAGGCUGGUGAAUGUCCCAUCCUCUAUGUGACCCCCCGCCCCCAGGGCUACAGAACAGGGCUCGGUGGGCGGGAGGGUGCAGCAAGGGCUGCCCUGAUCAGUUGAACAGUCCUGGCUGGGAGGUGACACGCUUCUUCCUGAAACAUGUUUGAUGCAUCCUUCCUAUGAACUCCUAUGCAUCCUUCAUGGCCCAGCCUGGAUGCCCCCUUCUCCCUCAACCCUUCCUGGUUGCCAGGUGGAGCCUCUCCCCUUCCUGCAGUGACUCCCUUGGUCCUGGAGGAGGCAGGGAAGGGUCCCACUGUGCAGAAAGGGCUCAGAGCAGGAAUUGCUUUCCUGUGCGGUCUCCGGCUGGCAAGAGGCAGGGCCAAGCCUCGAACCCCAUCCAGCCGACAGCAGGACGGGCGGACCAAGGCUGACCUUCUCCCCUCCCGCAGGGUCCUGGCAGCAGAGACCACGUCCCAGCAGGAGCGGCUCCAGGCCAUAGCAGAGAAGCGGAAGCGGCAGGCGGAGAUCGAGAACAAGCGCCGGCAGCUGGAGGACGACCGGAGGCAGCUGCAGCACCUGAAGUCCAAGGCGUUGCGGGAGCGCUGGCUGCUGGAGGGGACGCCGUCCUCGGCCUCGGAGGGCGACGAGGACCUGAGGAGGCAGAUGCAGGAGGACCAGCAGAAGGCGCAGCUCCUGGAGGGCUCCAUCUCCAGGUGGGCGGGCAGAGCGCGGCCGGACCCCGACCCUGACCCGGACCCUGACCCUAAAACCCUGACCCUAAAACCCUGACCCUGGCCCUAAAACCCUGACCCGGACCCUGACCCUAAAACCCUGACCCUAAAACCCUGACCCUGGCCCUAAAACCCUGACCCCGACCCUGGCCCUAAAACCCUGACCCGGACCCUGGCCCUAAAACCCUGGCCCCGACCCUGGCCCUAAAACCCUGACCCUGACCCGGACCCUGACCCUGACCCUAAAACCCUGGCCCUGACCCUGGCCCUAAAACCCUGGCCCUGACCCUGGCCCUAAAACCCUGGCCCUGACCCUGACCCUGACCCAGAGGCGGCGGGCAGCCUGUUGGAGCCAAGCACUAAGAAUCGCUGCCCAGCACCCCAUCUGAGCAGAUGUGUGAGGGACGUGGGCUCGGGGCGGCUCCAGGGUCCCCGAGGACAGGACGGAGUUGCCGGCACCGGCCUCCCCCGGGGCUUCCUGGCGCCAGCCCAGCUGGCUGGGCUGUGGCUGCCCGCUCUGCUCGGCGGCAGCUGGGCCCGCAGGAAGCGGGAGGGGCAGGAUGGGGAACGCGGUCAUCCCUGGGCCGGCGGGACACAGGCCUGGAGUUUCCGGCACGCGGGAGUCCCAGCUCCACUCGGGGCGCAGGUCAGGGCGAGGGAAGUGACGACCAGAAUCCCAAGCGCCUGCUCUGGCCGCGGAAGAGGCCCCCGGGCGGAG
Molecule: long non-coding RNA, 2241 nt
Organism: Microcebus murinus (gray mouse lemur)
Lineage: Eukaryota; Metazoa; Chordata; Mammalia; Primates; Cheirogaleidae
Source: Ensembl